GUGCCAGCAGCCGCGGUAAGACGUAGGGGGCGAGCGUUGUCCGGAUUUAUUGGGCGUAAAGAGCUCGUAGGCGGUUGCGUAAGUCGGAUGUGAAAACUCAGGGCUCAACCCUGAGACGCCAUCCGAUACUGCGCUGACUUGAAUCCAGUAGGGGAGUGUGGAAUUCCUGGUGUAGCGGUGAAAUGCGCAGAUAUCAGGAGGAACACCCAUGGCGAAGGCAGCACUCUGGGCUGGUAUUGACGCUGAGGAGCGAAAGCAUGGGUAGCGAACAGGAUUAGAUACCCCCGUAGUCC
This 293-nucleotide ribosomal RNA is filed under the name uncultured bacterium. RNAcentral describes it as "partial 16S ribosomal RNA". It matches the Rfam family "Bacterial small subunit ribosomal RNA", at positions 505 to 796 of the family's 1533-position model. The record is from RNAcentral.